GGUUCUAUAGUGUAAUGGUUAGCACUCUGGACUUUGAAUCCAGUAAGUAGUCUGAGCUCAAAUCUCAGUAGCGCCU
Molecule: transfer RNA, 76 nt
Filed under: Oryzias latipes (Japanese medaka)
Lineage: Eukaryota; Metazoa; Chordata; Actinopteri; Beloniformes; Adrianichthyidae
Rfam family: tRNA
About the family: Transfer RNA (tRNA) molecules are approximately 80 nucleotides in length.
Source: Rfam by way of RNAcentral